RNAcentral lists this ribosomal RNA (39 nucleotides) under Streptomyces sp. KhCrAH-43. The record is from RNAcentral. Lineage: Bacteria; Bacillati; Actinomycetota; Actinomycetes; Kitasatosporales; Streptomycetaceae.
GCAGGGGGGACCCUGUGGGAGAGUAGGACGCCGCCGAAC